CCUACGGGAGGCAGCAGUGAGGAAUAUUGGUCAAUGGGCGCGACCCUGAACCAGCCAAGUCGCGUGAGGGAAGACGGUCCUAUGGAUUGUAAACCUCUUUUAUCUGGGAGCAAAAUACGCCACGCGUGGCAUUACGUGAGUACCCGAAGAAAAAGGAUCGGCUAACUCCGUGCCAGCAGCCGCGGUAAUACGGAGGCUGCGAGCGUUAUCCGGAUUUAUUGGGUUUAAAGGGUGCGCAGGCGGGAAGUUAAGCGCGUGGGUAAAGGGGGGGGCUCAACCCUCUCAGUGCAGUUGAAACUGGGUGUCUUGAGUGAUGGAGAGGGAGGCGGAAUGCGUGGUGUAGCGGUGAAAUGCAUAGAUAUCACGAAGAACUCCGAUUGCGAAGGCAGCUUACUGGAGCUCAACUGACGCUGAGGCACGAAGGUGUGGGUAUCGAACAGGAUUAGAUACCCGGGUAGUC
This 460-nucleotide ribosomal RNA is filed under the name uncultured bacterium. RNAcentral's name for it is "partial 16S ribosomal RNA". It matches the Rfam family "Bacterial small subunit ribosomal RNA", at positions 338 to 795 of the family's 1533-position model. The record is from RNAcentral.